This 165-nucleotide ribosomal RNA is filed under the name Malus yunnanensis. RNAcentral's name for it is "5.8S ribosomal RNA". The stretch from base 3 to 150 matches the Rfam family "5.8S ribosomal RNA". From Rfam's summary of the family: 5.8S ribosomal RNA (5.8S rRNA) is a component of the large subunit of the eukaryotic ribosome. It is transcribed by RNA polymerase I as part of the 45S precursor that also contains 18S and 28S rRNA. The record is from RNAcentral. Lineage: Eukaryota; Viridiplantae; Streptophyta; Magnoliopsida; Rosales; Rosaceae.
CGGCAACGGAUUUCUCGGCUCUCGCAUCGAUGAAGAACGUAGCGAAAUGCGAUACUUGGUGUGAAUUGCAGAAUCCCGUGAACCAUCGAGUCUUUGAACGCAAGUUGCGCCCGAAGCCAUCAGGCCGAGGGCACGCCUGCCUGGGCGUCACACGCCGUUGCCCCC